RNAcentral lists this ribosomal RNA (443 nucleotides) under uncultured bacterium. RNAcentral describes it as "partial 16S ribosomal RNA". It matches the Rfam family "Bacterial small subunit ribosomal RNA", at positions 338 to 795 of the family's 1533-position model. The record is from RNAcentral.
ACUACGGGUGGCAGCAGUGGGGAAUAUUGGGCAAUGGGCGCAAGCCUGACCCAGCAACGCCGCGUGAAGGAAGAAGGCUUUCGGGUUGUAAACUUCUUUUCUCAGGGACGAAGCAAGUGACGGUACCUGAGGAAUAAGCCACGGCUAACUACGUGCCAGCAGCCGCGGUAAUACGUAGGUGGCAAGCGUUAUCCGGAUUUACUGGGUGUAAAGGGCGUGUAGGCGGGAAAGCAAGUCAGAUGUGAAAACCAUGGGCUCAACCUGUGGGCUGCAUUUGAACCUGUUUUUCUUGAGUACUGGAGAGGCAGACGGAAUUCCUAGUGUAGCGGUGACAUGCGUAGAUAUUAGGAGGAACACCAGUGGCGAAGGCGGUCUGCUGGACAGCAACUGACGCUGAGGCGCGAAAGCGUGGGGAGCAAACAGGAUUAGAUACCCUUGUAGUC